Molecule: long non-coding RNA, 528 nt
Organism: Drosophila miranda
Lineage: Eukaryota; Metazoa; Arthropoda; Insecta; Diptera; Drosophilidae
Exons: 2
Source: RefSeq, a predicted model, not a curated record
UGAGAACAGAGCCCUUAACAUCGCUUUCAUGCCAAAUAAAGAUCAAGGCCAUAAAGGGUUGGAAACUAAUUUCAUUCUCGUUGUGGAUAGUGGACUGUUUCUGCCGAAUAUUAUGGUUAUAGGAAGUAUUAUUGGGGCGACUACUAAUGUGUAACAAAAGCUGUUAGAAUUCCCCUACACAGAAUAAUUUCAUUCGUUCUGUGAAUGGCAUCGAAGCAUUCACUGAAACCAUGACCGAAAGACAAAGACACGCUGAUUUACAGGCUAUCAGUGCCGUAAACGUCAAAGUUCAAAGCCAAAAUGGACGAAGAUGGAAAUUCAUGGACUGCUUUCUAACUUGGCGGUUCUUAAGAUCUUAAAAGAAAAGUUAUUUUUUGGAACUAUAUUCUUAUUAAACAAUAUUCCUAUUCCUCGCACAUGUCCUCGCAUUGCUUUUUAGUUUUAAAACGAUUUCUGUUCCCGCCACAUCCGCCGUAUAUGAACUCUCUGCACUCCUUCGUCUUGGGAUCGUAGGUAAAAUUUGGUAUG